AAUGAACGCUGGCGGCGCGCCUAAUACAUGCAAGUCGAGCGAGAAGACGUAGCAAUACGUUUGUAAAGCGGCGAACGGGUGAGGAAUACAUGGGUAACCUACCCUCGAGUGGGGAAUAACUAGCCGAAAGGUUAGCUAAUACCGCGUACGCUUCUUGGACUUCGGUUCAGGGAGGAAAGCGAUGCCGAGGGUAUCGCGCUCUUGGAUGGGCUCAUGUCCUAUCAGCUUGNGGUGAGGUAACGGCUCACCAAGGCUUCGACGGGUAGCUGGUCUGAGAGGACGAUCAGCCACACUGGGCACUGCGACACGGGCCAGACUCCUACGGGAGGCAGCAGUAAGGAAUAUUGCGCAAUGGGCGAAAGCCUGACGCAGCGACGCCGCGUGGGGGAUGAAGGUCUUCGGAUUGUAAACCCCUUUCGGG
Molecule: ribosomal RNA, 421 nt
Filed under: uncultured bacterium
Lineage: Bacteria
Description: bacterial SSU rRNA
Rfam family: Bacterial small subunit ribosomal RNA
Source: RNAcentral